GUGGGGAGCCUGCGUUCUUUGGAAGGAAGACCUUUCAGAUGACCUGACCAGUCCUCCUCUUCAGAACCCGGAUGCUGGCGAAGCAGACUACUCCCAACACAGGCCACCUGUCUUGAAGAUGUGUAUCUAUAGUCAGAGGGAGGAGCCAUGUGCAAGCGUUUGGCUGGAUCACUACAAAUCUAUCAUGACUCUGGGAAAUCAACCGCUGUAUGAGAUCCCGGCGAUUGAUGAAGGAACUCGCCUUCACUUAAAAGGGACAGCAAGCAUAAUUCUCAAUGCACACAUGGUCUCAAUGGAGUGGAUUUUCAUGGACUGACUCAAGGUAUACUGCUCUAAAUCCUACUGUAAGGCUUCCUCAUCAAGUUACCUACCUUCUAAUUGAGUCUCCUCAUCAGCUGAAAUGUUUACUCACAUGGAGUUAAUGACAGUGUCUGCAUUAGAGGAUUUGGUCAAGAUCAAAUUAGAUAUUGCAAUGGAGUGCUGAGGACAACAGCUGGCAUGCUUAAAAUGCUUGCUAAAUGUGUACAAGUGCACAAGUUCUGUUUUAUUAAUAAAAAC
RNAcentral lists this long non-coding RNA (558 nucleotides) under Pan troglodytes (chimpanzee). RNAcentral's name for it is "long non-coding RNA NONPTRT010246". Lineage: Eukaryota; Metazoa; Chordata; Mammalia; Primates; Hominidae. The record is from RNAcentral.